UUUCCGUAAGUGAACCUGCGGAAGGAUCAUUAUUGUAUAACCGAGGUGCGAGGGCUGUCGCUGACCCGAAAGGUCGUGCACGCCCGAGUGCCCUCACACACAUCCAUCUCACCCCUAUGUGCACCACCGCGUGGGUCCCCCUUUGGCUUGUUCGGAGGGGGGCUUACGUUUUCACACAAACUUUGUAUGCAGUGUAGAAUGUAUUUUUGUUUUUGCGAUCACGCAAUCAAUACAACUUUCAACAACGGAUCUCUUGGCUCUC
This 262-nucleotide unclassified non-coding RNA is filed under the name plant metagenome. Its description in RNAcentral is "partial contains small subunit ribosomal RNA, internal transcribed spacer 1, and 5.8S ribosomal RNA". The record is from RNAcentral.